This 466-nucleotide ribosomal RNA is filed under the name uncultured bacterium. Its description in RNAcentral is "partial 16S ribosomal RNA". It matches the Rfam family "Bacterial small subunit ribosomal RNA", at positions 28 to 507 of the family's 1533-position model. The record is from RNAcentral.
GACGAACGCUGGCGGCGCGCCUAACACAUGCAAGUCGAACGAACGGGCGAGAGCUUUCUUUCUCGAGCGAGUGGCGAACGGGUGAGUAACGCGUGAGGAACCUGCCUCUAAGAGGGGGACAACAGUUGGAAACGACGGCUAAUACCGCAUAAGCCCACGGGGCCCCCUGGCACAGAGGGAAAAGGAGCGAUACGCUUUGAGUUGGCAGCGCGUCCGAUUUGCUUGUUGGUGAGGUAAUGGCACGCGAAUGCGAGGAUCGGUAGCCGUACAGAGCGGUGGAACCGCGACAGUUGGGCGAAGCCACAGUCGGGACUCCUACGGGAAGGAGCAGAGGGGAACAUAGCACCAGGGGGGAAAACCUGAAGAAGCGCGGCCGGGUAGAGGAAGAAGGUCGUCGGAUAGUAAACUCCUGUUGUGGGGGCAGAUAAUGACGGUACCCAAUAAGGAAGUGACGGCUAACUACGUG